This is a long non-coding RNA of Siniperca chuatsi (mandarin fish), 183 nucleotides long. RefSeq lists it as uncharacterized. NCBI's taxonomy places the organism in Eukaryota, Metazoa, Chordata, Actinopteri, Centrarchiformes, Sinipercidae. The record is from RefSeq and is a predicted model, not a curated record. The transcript is spliced from 3 exons.
UAUUUACAAAGGAUGACAUCUAAAUGCAUGCCAGUGUCUGCGGGGAGAGCAACAUGAAUGAGGGAGAUGCAGAUAUUAAUGAGGACACCAAUGAGCACCUCAGCAGCAUAUCAGACAUCCUGAUGUCACUUGAAAAGAAAGCUGACACAUCCCGGUGAUUUACCAUCAAUGUGACAAGAGAAG